This 253-nucleotide ribosomal RNA is filed under the name uncultured bacterium. Its description in RNAcentral is "partial 16S ribosomal RNA". It matches the Rfam family "Bacterial small subunit ribosomal RNA", at positions 524 to 776 of the family's 1533-position model. The record is from RNAcentral.
UACGUAGGGUGCGAGCGUUGUCCGGAAUUAUUGGGCGUAAAGGGCUCGUAGGCGGUUUGUCGCGUCGGGAGUGAAAUCCACUGGCUUAACUGGUGGCUUGCUUUCGAUACGGGCAGACUGGAGGUAUGCAGGGGAGAACGGAAUUCCUGGUGUAGCGGUGAAAUGCGUAGAUAUCAAGAGGAACACCUGAGGUGAAGACGGGUUGCUGGGCUGACACUGACGUUGAGGCGCGAAAGCCAGGGGAGCAAACGGG